RNAcentral lists this long non-coding RNA (823 nucleotides) under Ursus maritimus (polar bear). RNAcentral describes it as "lncRNA (ENSUMAG00000023408.1)". The record is from RNAcentral. Lineage: Eukaryota; Metazoa; Chordata; Mammalia; Carnivora; Ursidae.
AACAGGUGUUCCUAAAAACCUUGUAACUAGCAUCCUAUUUACUGCAAACGUAUGGGAUAAUGUUCCUUAUACAAAUAUGUACCGUAGCAGGAUAAACUGUAUUUCCAAUGAUGCACCAGCAAGAAGAAUCUACAAAUCAACCUCAAAGUGUCAAGAAUUUGGGGAGCACGUGUCUGAUGGAUUCUCUUAGCUGCAGUGGAGACCUCAGCAGACUUAGUGACCGUUAUCUGCCUCAGGAAGUAGACAAACCUAUGAGAUGCUGACUGCUCCGUUUCUGUGUUUCAGCAUUUGUCAGAAAUAGCAUCUCAUCUAGGAUCCGCACCUGGGGAAGAUUUGACAAGCAACAAACAAAUUUACCACCCUUUGGGUCCUCAGGGGUGGACGGCAGCCAGUAUCGCUGAUGGGAGCACAGCUUAAAGCCGUGUCGUCAGCCACAAUCCUACACGUCUGUGACUUCUGAAUUUUCCAUACUUCCUAUGAAGGUAGCACCUUGGAAAAAGACUUCUUCCCCCCAGUGGUGGAGGGGCAUUUGUCAUUUACAAGUACUGUGGUCAUAAUAUAAGUGUCCUCAAGAUUUUUUAAAUAGUGCUUCAGGAUCCUCUAAAGUCAUGUUUCGUAGUGUUUAAAAAUGGUCUGUGAUGGGGCGCCUGGGUGGCACAGCGGUUAAGCAUCUGCCUUCGGCUCAGGGUGUGAUCCCGGCGAUCUGGGAUCGAGCCCCACAUCAGGCUCCUCUGCUGUGAGCCUGCUUCUUCCUCUCCCACUCCCCCUGCUUGUGUUUCCUCUCUCGCUAGCUGUCUCUCUCUGUCAAAUAAAUAAAUAAAAU